UGUUAAAAAGUCAUUCAUUUCUACUAUUAAAAAUUGACAUGACUGAUGAAAUAAUCAGAUAGUUCCACACAACACGCCAAGUGUACCUCAUGCAAACGUACAAAGACCAAUUUUUAAUAAUAAAAAUAGAUAAAGUUUUAACA
Molecule: non-coding RNA, 143 nt
Organism: Gossypium raimondii (Peruvian cotton)
Lineage: Eukaryota; Viridiplantae; Streptophyta; Magnoliopsida; Malvales; Malvaceae
Source: Rfam